UUUCCGUAGGUGAACCUGCGGAAGGAUCAUUAUUGUAUAACCGAGGUGCGAGGGCUGUCGCUGACCCGAAAGGUCGUGCACGCCCGAGUGCCCUCACACACAUCCAUCUCACCCCUAUUUGCACCACCUCGUGGGUCCCCCUUUGGCUUGUUCGGAGGGGGGCUUACGUUUUCACACAAACUUUGUAUGCAGUGUAGAAUGUAUUUUUUGUUUUUGCGAUCACGCAAUCAAUACAACUUUCAACAACGGAUCUCUUGGCUCUC
Molecule: unclassified non-coding RNA, 263 nt
Filed under: plant metagenome
Description: partial contains small subunit ribosomal RNA, internal transcribed spacer 1, and 5.8S ribosomal RNA
Source: RNAcentral